GAUGAACGCUGGCGGCGUGCCUAAUACAUGCAAGUCGAGCGAACGGACGAGAAGCUUGCUUCUCUGAUGUUAGCGGCGGACGGGUGAGUAACACGUGGAUAACCUACCUAUAAGACUGGGAUAACUUCGGGAAACCGGAGCUAAUACCGGAUAAUAUUUUGAACCGCAUGGUUCAAAAGUGAAAGACGGUCUUGCUGUCACUUAUAGCUGGAUCCGCGCUGCAUUAGCUAGUUGGUAAGGUAACGGCUUACCAAGGCAACGAUGCAUAGCCGACCUGAGAGGGGGAUCGGCCACACGGGAACUGGGACACGGUCCAGAGUCCUACGGGAGGCAGCAGUAGGGAAUCUGCCGCAAUGGGCGAAAGCCUGACGGAGCAACGCCGCGUGAGUGAUGAAGGUCUUCGGAUCGUAAAACUCUGUUAUUAGGGAAGAACAUAUGUGUAAGUAACUGUGCACAGCUUGACGGUACCUAAUCAGAAAGCCACGGCUAACUACGUG
RNAcentral lists this ribosomal RNA (497 nucleotides) under uncultured bacterium. Its description in RNAcentral is "partial 16S ribosomal RNA". It matches the Rfam family "Bacterial small subunit ribosomal RNA", at positions 28 to 507 of the family's 1533-position model. The record is from RNAcentral.